Long non-coding RNA from Cucumis sativus (cucumber), 990 nucleotides. RefSeq lists it as uncharacterized. NCBI's taxonomy places the organism in Eukaryota, Viridiplantae, Streptophyta, Magnoliopsida, Cucurbitales, Cucurbitaceae. The record is from RefSeq and is a predicted model, not a curated record. The transcript is spliced from 2 exons.
UAUCAGACAGUGCCACAAGACCUCACCAUGGAAGUCAUAAAAGAUGUUGCAAUUUCCAUUAGCAUAGGGAGCAUAGUGUCUGAAAGAUGUUUAUAUUUGAAAACUUUGACAUACAAAGUUUUUUAUUAUCUAUGUCGUAUAGACUAUUGAAAAUCAGCACGAUCUCGUGAUUGAUCUCCUUGACUCCUUUAUGAUGAUUAAGAAAACAGACCAUGGCCCUCUUCACUAUCUGCAGCCUAAUUUGGAAAAACCAGAAAUGGUGGUUUAUGAAUCCAAUAACAAACACAAUCAGUAUUAAUUCCAAGAGUUUCUAAGUAGUUCCAAGACCAACCGGAACGGAAACGUAAGUUAUAUGCAAUCUUCUUCGUUUCAUGGCUUCUGUUCUAUUACAUGAGUCUAAAAACUCUUAUCCAGGUUUUUAAUUUAUGGAUUCAUGAAUUGUCCAUUUUAAAUUUGUUCCAAAACCCUUUUGUUGUUGUGGAAUAAAGAGCCGUCAUAUUUUAUGCAUGUAUUUAGUUUAUUCGAAGAAUUAAUCCUUGCUUAUACAUGAGCUUCUCCGGAACAAAGCAGAAGUGAGAAUCUCGGAUUUUCGGAGGGUGAGUCAAUGCCUAAGGAUCAGACUGAAAGGCAUAAUCGAUGGACAACAAUGAUCCUUCUUUUGUAAGUGAACUAGAAAGUUCUUUCUACAGUUUUCAAGUUUAUGUCUCUUGAGCAACAUUACAUUUGGGAAUAGAGAUGAAAAUAUAAAGUUUAUAUAUGGAGUAAAAGGUUAAGUUCACUGUGAAAAGAGGUGUGUCAAAGUAGAUUUAUUCUUUUGCUGAUGCUUCAUAGCUUGACUGACUGGUCAUUUUUUAAUAAAAUUGAGGAAGUGUAUUAGUGGAUAAUGUUUUUUGCUUGAAUUUCUCAGUUAUGCCUCAACUGUGGCCAUGUGUAGUUAUGUUUUUUUCUCAACUCUAACAGCAUAAAUGAAUCUCAACUAGUUUUUUGGUA